UUGAUCCUGGCUCAGAGCGAACGUUAGCGGCAGGCUUAACACAUGCAAGUCGAGCGAGAAAGGGGCUUCGGCUCCGAGUAAAAGCGGCGGACGGGUGCGUAACACGUGGAUAAUCUGCCUCGUGGCGGGGGACAACAGUCCGAAAGGACUGCUAAUACCGCAUGUCAGGUCGGAAACUCCGGUUUCUGACGAAAAAGAGGGCGUCCGCAAGGAGCUCUCACCACGAGAUGAGUCCGCGUCCCAUCAGCUAGUUGGCGGUGUAAUGGACCACCAAGGCUUAGACGGGUAGCUGGUCUGAGAGGAUGACCAGCCACACUGGGACUGAGACACGGCCCAGACUCCUACGGGAGGCAGCAGUGGGGAAUAUUGGACAAUGGGCGAAAGCCUGAUCCAGCCAUGCCGCGUGAGUGAUGAAGGCCUCGGUCGUAAAGCUCUGUGGGGAGGGACGAAAAGACGUAGACCUAAUACGUCUCGCCUUGAC
RNAcentral lists this ribosomal RNA (481 nucleotides) under uncultured bacterium. Its description in RNAcentral is "bacterial SSU rRNA". It matches the Rfam family "Bacterial small subunit ribosomal RNA", at positions 13 to 478 of the family's 1533-position model. The record is from RNAcentral.